GGCUAGUGUGGUAUUGUGGUUUGAGUGCUGGACUAGGACUCUGGGAGACCAGGGUUCAAAUCUCUGCUCAGCCA
This 74-nucleotide transfer RNA is filed under the name Phrynosoma platyrhinos (Desert horned lizard). RNAcentral's name for it is "tRNA-OTHER". Lineage: Eukaryota; Metazoa; Chordata; Lepidosauria; Squamata; Phrynosomatidae. The record is from RNAcentral.